GUAGGGAAUAUUGGGCAAUGGUCGGAAGACUGACCCAGCCAUGCCGCGUGCAGGAAGACGGCCCUCUGGGUUGUAAACUGCUUUUAUCUGGGAAGAAAAAGGCCAUGCGUGGCAAAUUGCCGGUACCAGAUGAAUAAGCACCGGCUAACUCCGUGCCAGCAGCCGCGGUAAUACGGAGGGUGCGAGCGUUGUCCGGAUUUAUUGGGUUUAAAGGGUGCGUAGGCGGCUGAUUAAGUCAGCGGUGAAAGACUUCGGCUUAACCGGAGCAGUGCCGUUGAUACUGGUUGGCGUGAGUGUCGGAGGGGUACAUGGAAUUGAUGGUGUAGAGGUGAAAUGCAUAGAUACCAUCAGGAACACCGAUAGCGAAGGCAUUGUACUGGCCGACAACUGACGCUGAUGCACGAAAGUGUGGGGAUCGAACAGGAUUAGAAACCCCGGUAGUCC
This 444-nucleotide ribosomal RNA is filed under the name uncultured bacterium. RNAcentral describes it as "partial 16S ribosomal RNA". It matches the Rfam family "Bacterial small subunit ribosomal RNA", at positions 354 to 796 of the family's 1533-position model. The record is from RNAcentral.